Molecule: long non-coding RNA, 209 nt
Filed under: Ananas comosus (pineapple)
Lineage: Eukaryota; Viridiplantae; Streptophyta; Magnoliopsida; Poales; Bromeliaceae
Description: long non-coding RNA (ACOM_LNC029046)
Source: RNAcentral
AGAAAAGAAUGUAAUGUGUAUUUUGAGGUAAAUGUGAUGUAAGAAAGAAAUGAUGAAAUGACAUGUAAGGAAUCCGAAAAAUUACAAGUUGGAUGUAUGUAUAUGAUCUAAAUUGAAUCAUAGUAUUUAUAAAUGUUUAGUCUUCCUUUCUUUCACUAAUGGCUAUUGCUUACUUUCGUGUAAGCCGUUUGUGUAUGUUUCCGCUAGUG